UAUUCUGGUUGAUCCUGCCACUAGUCCUAUGCUUGUCUCACAGAUUAAGCCGUGCAUGUCUAAGUUUAAUCAAUAAACAGUGAAACUGCGAAUGGCUCAUUAGAUCAGUCAUAAUUUAUUUGAUGGUACCUUACUACAUGGAUAACUGUGGUAAUUCUACAGCUAAUACAUGCUGAAAAAUCCCGACUUCUGGAAGGGAUGUAUUUAUUAAAUCCAAAACCAAUGGCCUUCGGGUCCCUAUGGUGAAUCAUAUUAACUGCUCGAAUCGCAUGGCCUUGCGCCGGCGAUGCUUCAUUCAAAUAUCUGCCCUAUCAACUUUCGAUGGUAGGAUAGAGGCCUACCAUGGUGAUGACGGGUAACGGGGAAUAAGGGUUCGAUUCCGGAGAGAGGGCCUGAGAAACGGCCCUCAGGUCUAAGGACACGCAGCAGGCGCGCAAAUUAUCCCCUGGCAACACUUUGCCGAGAUAGUGACAAUAAAUAACAAUGCAGGGCUCUUACGGGUCUUGCAAUUGGAAUGAGUACAAUUUAAAUCCCUUAACGAGGAUCAAUUGGAGGGCAAGUCUGGUGCCAGCAGCCGCGGUAAUUCCAGCUCCAAUAGCGUAUAUUAAAAUUGUUGCCGUUAAAAAGCUCGUAGUCGAACUUCGGGCUCUGUCAGCCGGUCCGCCUUCUUGGUGUGUACUUGUUUGACGGAGCCUUACCUCCUGGUGAACGGCGAUGUCCUUUACUGGGUGUCGUCGCAAACCAGGACUUUUACUUUGAAAAAAUUAGAGUGUUCAAAGCAGGCCUUCGCCCGAAUACAUUAGCAUGGAAUAAUAAAAUAGGACGCGCGUUCCCAUUUUGUUGGUUUCUGAGAUCGCCGUAAUGAUUAAUAGGGAUAGUUGGGGGCAUUUGUAUUCCGUCGUCAGAGGUGAAAUUCUUGGAUCGCCGGAAGACAAACUACUGCGAAAGCAUUUGCCAAGGAUGUUUUCAUUGAUCAAGAACGAAGGAAGGGGGAUCGAAAACGAUUAGAUACCGUUGUAGUCUCUUCUGUAAACUAUGCCAAUUGGGGAUCGGUACAGGAUUUUUAAUGACUGUAUCGGCACCCGAAGAGAAAUCUUUAAAUGAGGUUCGGGGGGGAGUAUGGUCGCAAGGCUGAAACUUAAAGGAAUUGACGGAAGGGCACCACCAGGUGUGGAGCCUGCGGCUUAAUUUGACUCAACACGGGGAAACUCACCAGGUCCAGACACAAUAAGGAUUGACAGAUUGAUAGCUCUUUCUUGAUCUUGUGGUUGGUGGUGCAUGGCCGUUCUUAGUUGGUGGAGUGAUUUGUCUGGUUAAUUCCGAUAACGAACGAGACCUUAACCUGCUAAAUAGACCAGCCGGCUUUGGCUAGCUGCUGUCUUCUUAGAGGGACUAUCAGCGUUUAGCUGAUGGAAGUUUGAGGCAAUAACAGGUCUGUGAUGCCC
Molecule: ribosomal RNA, 1445 nt
Filed under: uncultured Banisveld eukaryote
Lineage: Eukaryota
Description: SSU rRNA
Rfam family: Eukaryotic small subunit ribosomal RNA
Source: RNAcentral